Long non-coding RNA from Cyprinus carpio carpio, 1029 nucleotides. NCBI's taxonomy places the organism in Eukaryota, Metazoa, Chordata, Actinopteri, Cypriniformes, Cyprinidae. The record is from Ensembl.
UAACUGACUGUCUUUCCAGUCUGACUACUCCUAUCCAAGCGCCAUGGCCAGACUUACCACUGGGCUCGACUGGGCUGAAGCCCAUGGGCCCUGCCUUGUACAGGGCCCCGCCUUUGCCCAUUUAUGUUUGUUUCAUUUGUUCAGUUAUGCCAUAUCCACUGCACACGCAUGGGUUAACAGCUUCCAACUGCGACCUUCAAGGCCAUAAUCAAACAGCAUAAAACUGAUUCUGUUACCAUUGCCAUGCAUUGUACGGCUGAGAGACUACAGCGGCUGAAGCUAAAAAUCUUUGUUUGUGUUCUACUGAAGAAACAAAGUCACCUACAUCUUGGAUGCCCUGGGGGUAAGCAGAUAAAUAUACAUUUUUUUUUGGGGGGGGGGGGGUGAACUAUCCCUUGAACUACUUUAAUUUUGCAAUGCCACACAAACACUCCAAAAGGUUAAGAUAUUAUUCAAGUACUCUUUCAACACCAUGAGAAAAUAAAAUGUGAACAAGCACAUACAAAACAUCUACUGUUAACACUCCACCCUAUUUAUCUGGUAUCACUGCAUUACGCACUAUUUAAAAGGUGUGUCAGUGAUGUCAUACCUCUCACAAACAAAAACACAUGUCUCACAUGUCUCUCUUGUUACAGAAGGCCUAUAUACUACCAGCCUGGACUGACCUUCUGUUCCUCCUCAUUACACACAUAACACAAUCAUUCCCAGCACAGGACAGGAAGUAUGAAGAACUAUGAAAAUAAACCAGUGAAGUGAUUUUCCCACAGUGUGGCUGCCUGGUAACAAUCUGAAAAAUAACAUUGUCAGAUAAUGUAUUAGUUAGUUGAUGCAUUAACUAACAUUAAGUAAUGGGACCUUAUUGUAAAGUGUUACCCAAAAUUUGUGAAAAAAGUAGGUGAAUCAACAUUCAAGACAAUUAUUUUUAAAGGGGUCAUAUGAUGAUAUGAUUACAAGUUUUCCUUUCUCUUUGGAGAGUUACAAGCUGAUUGUGCAUUUCCUCUUGACAAUAUCCCAUAGAUUCUCUCUGGG